AAAGAUAUAGCAUAUUCUUCUGAAUAUACUUUAUUAACCCAUUCCGAGUACCUUACCCGUUGCUUCCGCGAGGCUGUCCUCACGGCCCUCUGAAGGAUUUAUCUUUGGGGAGUCCUUGCGGAAGGUAUACAAUAAACUCUUGCAUUACCAUGUCAUCUGUCUGAAUCUGCUUAAAACAAAUAUUA
Molecule: unclassified non-coding RNA, 185 nt
Filed under: soil metagenome
Description: partial internal transcribed spacer 1
Source: RNAcentral